This is a long non-coding RNA of Armigeres subalbatus, 343 nucleotides long. RefSeq lists it as uncharacterized. NCBI's taxonomy places the organism in Eukaryota, Metazoa, Arthropoda, Insecta, Diptera, Culicidae. The record is from RefSeq and is a predicted model, not a curated record. The transcript is spliced from 3 exons.
AAACAAAUCACUAAAUUGAAUUGAAGACAGCGUGUGAAUUUCUUAUCCUAAAUCAAUUAUAAAUAAUACUUAACUACCCUAUAACUAUUAGUGCUACAAUCAAUCUAUUUACAAGCUUAGUACUAGAUUCUUUCCACCAAGUAGCAGAAACCAACCUAACCCUAAUCUACUUAUGCUGUAAAGUGCACAAUCACGACACGACAGACAGAUUUCGACAAGACAGACUACGACUGACAAACUACGAACGAUCAUAAAGGGGACUAAACGUAAGUUGACUAUGUCCAAACAUACGAUUCAUAAAAUUAUUUAUUUGCAUAAGAUUAACAAAAACUGAUGUGGAACA